This 1153-nucleotide small RNA is filed under the name Arabidopsis thaliana (thale cress). RNAcentral describes it as "ATSL157440". Lineage: Eukaryota; Viridiplantae; Streptophyta; Magnoliopsida; Brassicales; Brassicaceae. The record is from RNAcentral.
ACAUGGUUUACAAAUCAUUUUAAAGCGUAAGUAAGUAGCAUAUAUUAAUUUACAAAAGAUUUUAAAAGCUUUGAAAAGUGGUUAACAUGGUUUACAAAUCGUUUUAAAGCGUAAGUAAGUAGCAUAGAAUAAUUUACAAGGGAUUUUAAAAGCUUUGAAAAUUGGUUAACAUGGUUUACAAAUCGUUUUAAAGCGUAAGUAGCAUAGAAUAAUUUACAAGGGAUUUUAAAAGCUUUGAAAAGUGGUUAACAUGGUUUACAAAUCGUUUUAAAGCGUAAGUGGCAUAGAUCUAUCACGAAAGCAUAUGCAAAAGAGGUAAACACUAAAUCAGAACCAAAAUCUAUUACGAAAUAGUAUAACGAAUUCACAUAAGCAAAUCUAUCACGAAACAGUAUAACGAAUUUAAAAGGAUUUUAGAACAGUAUAACGAAUGUACAAGGAUUUUAGAAACAAAUUCAAUCAUCAAAUCUCAAACAAAAUUCAAAUUUGAAGCUGAAGCAAAUGUCAAACUGUCGAUUGUAUCAGGAUUCAAAUAACGAGUUCACAUAAUCAACAACAAAAAUCGAAUAAACCAAUUCGAAAACGAAGAUUUAAGCUAACAUUAUAAAAUCAAACCUGGGAAACGCAAGAGAUUCGACGGCGACACACAGCUCUACUUACGACGGCGAAAAUGGGUUUUCACGGCGAGUAAACUCAUUAUUUCCGACGGCAUGGGAUUCAACGGCAUUCACAAUUUCCGAUGGAGGAAGAAGAGAGAGAGUGAAGAAAUGAAUUAGGUCUGUGGGUAGCUCAUUAAGGGUAAUUUGGGGAGAAAAGUAUUAGAAAGGGUAGAAAUGAAAAUGGGAAAAAAGGGUAGAGUUGCAAAAGGGCAUUGAGAAAAGGGCAUUAGAGUGAAUUAUAAUAGAAUAAUUGCUGAGAAUGCCCUUUGCCUACUACCCUUUUUCAAUUCUACCCUUUUCUAUUUGCCCUUUUUAUUUCUACCCUUUUUAAUUUUUAAUGACCAUUUUACCCCUAUUUGGAAAUUGUUUUAGGUUAACAAAAUGAAAUAUUAAUACUGUUUGCAUAAAAUAAUCCAAAAUAAAUUUCCCGCCAAACUUUUACCGCCAAAAAUUUUCGAAAAAAAAGUUCCCGUCAAAAAUUUCCAAAAAAAAAU